CACGUAGGGCGCAAGCGUUGUCCGGAAUUAUUGGGCGUAAAGAGCUCGUAGGCGGUCUGUUGCGUCCGCUGUGAAAACUCGGGGCUUAACCCCGAGCCUGCAGUGGAUACGGGCAGACUAGAGGUAGGUAGGGGAGAAUGGGAUUCCCGGUGUAGCGGUGAAAUGCGCAGAUAUCGGGAGGAACACCGGUGGCGAAGGCGGUUCUCUGGGCCUUACCUGACGCUGAGGAGCGAAAGCGUGGGGAGCGAACAGG
This 253-nucleotide ribosomal RNA is filed under the name uncultured bacterium. Its description in RNAcentral is "partial 16S ribosomal RNA". It matches the Rfam family "Bacterial small subunit ribosomal RNA", at positions 524 to 776 of the family's 1533-position model. The record is from RNAcentral.